This 67-nucleotide transfer RNA is filed under the name Marmota monax (woodchuck). RNAcentral describes it as "tRNA.Ala". The record is from RNAcentral. Lineage: Eukaryota; Metazoa; Chordata; Mammalia; Rodentia; Sciuridae.
GGUUGUGGCUCAGUGGUAGAGUGCUUGCCUAGCACAUAUAAGGCACUGGGUUUGAUCCUCAGCACCA